AGUGGUCACUGCAGUGUCUUCUCCCUUCGAAAGAUCCAACUGAUGCUGAGGUAGAAAUUGAAUGUGGGCGCCCCGUAAUCCUCCUCUGCGGACUCUUGCGAGGAUGUUUCUUCAGUCUCCUGCAACACAUGGAGGGCAGGUUGUCUGCAAUGUAAACAUCCUUGAAAACCACCCUUGAAGUUUCUGUGAAAACAUUGAACAUCUUGGAAGGGGUGAGUGCCACAGGACAGCGGGGGGGUUUCCCAGGACUCCCUCCUCCCUGCUCCACAGCCCACGGGGAAGACCUCCACAGAUAGCUACACAGGACAAAGCCCAGGGGUGGACGGAAGGAAACACUCA
This is a long non-coding RNA of Mus pahari (shrew mouse), 339 nucleotides long. RefSeq lists it as uncharacterized. The transcript is spliced from 3 exons. The record is from RefSeq and is a predicted model, not a curated record. NCBI's taxonomy places the organism in Eukaryota, Metazoa, Chordata, Mammalia, Rodentia, Muridae.